GGCGUAUGGUGGAUGCCUUGGUAGACAGGACCGAUGAAGGACGUGACGGGCUGCGAUAUGCCUCGGGGAGCUGCCGAGUGGGCUUUGAUCCGAGGAUUUCCGAAUGGGGAGACCCGGCCAUUGUUAUGAGUGGUCACCACAGUUUUGUGGGGGGUACGCAGGGAAGUGAAACAUCUCAGUACCUGCAGGAGAGGAUAUUCCGUGAGUAGUGG
This 212-nucleotide ribosomal RNA is filed under the name Chaetoceros curvisetus. RNAcentral's name for it is "partial Bacterial large subunit ribosomal RNA". It matches the Rfam family "Bacterial large subunit ribosomal RNA", at positions 16 to 249 of the family's 2925-position model. Lineage: Eukaryota; Bacillariophyta; Thalassiosirophyceae; Chaetocerotales; Chaetocerotaceae. The record is from RNAcentral.